UACGUAGGGGGCAAGCGUUGUCCGGAUUUAUUGGGCGUAAAGAGCUCGUAGGCGGCUCAGUAAGUCGGGUGUGAAACCUCCAGGCUCAACCUGGAGACGCCACUCGAUACUGCUGUGGCUUGAGUCCGGUAGGGGAGCACGGAAUUCCUGGUGUAGCGGUGAAAUGCGCAGAUAUCAGGAGGAACACCAGUGGCGAAGGCGGUGCUCUGGGCCGGAACUGACGCUGAGGAGCGAAAGCGUGGGUAGCAAACAGG
This 254-nucleotide ribosomal RNA is filed under the name uncultured bacterium. RNAcentral's name for it is "partial 16S ribosomal RNA". It matches the Rfam family "Bacterial small subunit ribosomal RNA", at positions 524 to 776 of the family's 1533-position model. The record is from RNAcentral.